GGGCGCAAGCCUGAUCCAGCAAUGCCGCGUGAGUGAUGAAGGCCUUAGGGUUGUAAAGCUCUUUCGGCGGGGAAGAUGAUGACGGUACCCGCAGAAGAAGCCCCGGCUAACUUCGUGCCAGCAGCCGCGGUAAUACGAAGGGGGCUAGCGUUGUUCGGAAUUACUGGGCGUAAAGGGCGCGUAGGCGGCGCGUUAAGUCAGGUGUGAAAGCCCUGGGCUCAACCCAGGAAUUGCACUUGAUACUGACGUGCUUGAAUCCGGAAGAGGAUGACGGAAUUCCCAGUGUAGAGGUGAAAUUCAUUGAUAUUGGGAAGAACACCAGUGGCGAAGGCGGUCAUCUGGUCCGGUAUUGACGCUGAGGCGCGAAAGCGUGGGGAGCAAACAGGAUUAGAUACCCUGGUAGUCCACGCCGUAAACGAUGAGUGCUAGACGUCGGGGGGUUGCCUCUCGGUGUCGCCGCUAACGCAUUAAGCACUCCGCCUGGGGAGUACGGCCGCAAGGUUA
RNAcentral lists this ribosomal RNA (504 nucleotides) under uncultured Pseudomonadota bacterium. Its description in RNAcentral is "bacterial SSU rRNA". It matches the Rfam family "Bacterial small subunit ribosomal RNA", at positions 373 to 896 of the family's 1533-position model. The record is from RNAcentral. Lineage: Bacteria; Pseudomonadati; Pseudomonadota.